This 1071-nucleotide long non-coding RNA is filed under the name Monodelphis domestica (gray short-tailed opossum). RNAcentral's name for it is "lncRNA (ENSMODG00000032361.2)". Lineage: Eukaryota; Metazoa; Chordata; Mammalia; Didelphimorphia; Didelphidae. The record is from RNAcentral.
ACUAGACAAAGCUGUUGCAGUCCUGGUGAAUGCCCUUUCCUUCUCAUCUUGGAGAGCUGCUGAAGCCAAGGAGAUGAUAAAAGAUGGAGGAGGAAAAGUGAGCUCAUUGGAUCUUGUAGCACAGGGUUCUGAGCAGGAGGGUAAACAGCCCUUCUCAGCCAGUCAGCAGGAAUCCCAGCAGGUAGCUGAAGAACUACCUACCUUCAAUGAAGAAUGCCCAGAAGCAAGACAAGAGAAGACACCAGAAGCAGCUUGGAAAUGCCAGUCAUUUCUUCAGUUUCCUCUUGAUUCCAGACCACAGCAAAAUGAGGGCAUCCCCUGCGAUAAUGAAGCUCCAGCAAAGGCAAGAGAUACAGAAAGUCCAAGUCUCAGAGAGUGCAACACACCAAAAAAGGAUUUGGAUAUGGCAUUUCCAGACCUGCAGAGCAAGAUCUGGCAGCUGGAAGACAUCCUGGAUGAGCUGAAUGAGGAGUUCUUUCAACUCAGCACUCAGGCGCUGAAACUCCAAGCAGAAGGGAACGAGCAAGGCCAAGAACAGAGCCAGGAGACCUUGUUCAUGGAAGAUAAAUUAAACAUGAGAGAAGUAGAUGAGCCAGAGAGUAAGAACCUGGGAUCCAUUGCUCCAAAAAGUGACCAGACCCUGCUUCUGGAGGUCAAGAGGACUCACUUGGCCCAGAGGAUUGAAGAUGUGGAAUGGGAACUGUCUCUCCUCCUUCAUCUUGCAGAUCCCAGAAAGCAUGUGCGACAGGGCCAACUGGACCGCCAUGCCAGUUUAGAGUUCCUUCCCUUGCAUUAGGGAGACUGUAAUUUUCAUCUACAGGUGACAUCUUCCACAUGAAGGAUAUGAUUGAAUUCCCUUGGAGAUAACAUCUUUCUAAGUGAGCUUCAACUCAAGAAGGUCUGCAAGCCAGAAACACCUCAAACAUAUCAAGAAACAAGCAGAAGAGGGAAAAGAAGACUUCUUUAUAACAUACUGCACCUAUUUGUUUAUAUAGUAGACUCUACUCAUACGGUAGGCAGUUAGGUGGUGCAGUAAAUAAAGUGACAGCCUGGAGUUAGGAAGACUAAUUU